CAAUAGCCGCGGUAAUACGGAGGGCGCGAGCGUUACCCGGAUUUACUGGGCGUAAAGGGCGUGUAGGCGGCCUGGGGCGUCCCAUGUGAAAGGCCACGGCUCAACCGUGGAGGAGCGUGGGAUACGCUCAGGCUAGAGGGUGGGAGAAGGUGGUGGAAUUCCCGGAGUAGCGGUGAAAUGCGCAGAUACCGGGAGGAACGCCGAUGGCGAAGGCAGCCACCUGGUCCACUUCUGACGCUGAGGCGCGAAAGCGUGGGGAGCAAACCGGAUUAGAUACCCGGGUAGUCCCUGUCUCUUAUAA
This 301-nucleotide ribosomal RNA is filed under the name uncultured bacterium. Its description in RNAcentral is "partial 16S ribosomal RNA". It matches the Rfam family "Bacterial small subunit ribosomal RNA", at positions 509 to 809 of the family's 1533-position model. The record is from RNAcentral.